CCAGACUCCUACGGGAGGCAGCAGUGGGGGAUAUUGCACAAUGGGGGGAACCCUGAUGCAGCGACGCCGCGUGGGCGAAGAAGUAUUUCGGUAUGUAAAGCCCUAUCAGCAGGGAAGAAGAAAUGACGGUACCUGACUAAGAAGCCCCGGCUAACUACGUGCCAGCAGCCGCGGUAAUACGUAGGGGGCAAGCGUUAUCCGGAUUUACUGGGUGUAAAGGGAGCGUAGACGGCGCUGCAAGUCCGGAGUGAAAGUCCAUGGCUUAACCAUGGUACUGCUCUGGAAACUGUGGAGCUUGAGUGCGGGAGGGGCAGGCGGAAUUCCUAGUGUAGCGGUGAAAUGCGUAGAUAUUAGGAGGAACACCGGCGGCGAAGGCGGCCUGCUGGACCGUAACUGACGUUGAGGCUCGAAAGCGUGGGGAGCAAACAGGAUUAGAUACCCUCGUAACG
RNAcentral lists this ribosomal RNA (449 nucleotides) under uncultured bacterium. RNAcentral's name for it is "bacterial SSU rRNA". It matches the Rfam family "Bacterial small subunit ribosomal RNA", at positions 331 to 793 of the family's 1533-position model. The record is from RNAcentral.